CAGUUCAUCCACUCUCAUCUCAUCUCUCAUCUCUCACUUUCUCUCCUCUCUUUCAUCAUUCUUCUCAUCUCCACUCUCUGCUAACUUCUCUCAAUACUAUCUCUGAUAUUCAAAAAUUACCAGCAUUUAUUUCAUAUACAAAUAUAUCAGCAAAUGUCUAUUUCAUAAGAUAUUUGCUUUCUCUAUUCUUCUCUGUCUCAUCAACCUCUCCAUUCUCCAGCAUAUUCUAUCAACAAAAGCUCUACUCUUCAUAAUCUUCUCUCACUUCUCCACAUUUCAAAGCAUUCACUUCUCUCACUCUAUAGACAUCAGUGGUAUAUUGAUCACUGCAGCAGGCAUCACAGACACUGCUGUCAUCAUCAGCAUCUUCACAAUCUUCUCUAUUAACUUCUCAGUCAAUUUCUCCUUCUCUAAACUCUCUUCAAUCAACAUCUUCAAAAUUCUCAUAUUCUUCUUCUUACUCUUCUUCUUAAUCUUCUUCUCUUUCUUCUUCUCAACAACAAUAAUCUUCUCUUUCUCUUUCACCUCUGUUCUGGAAAGAGCAGACACCACCACAGUCUUCAAAACCUGCAUUCUCACAGACUCAGCCACUGUCUGAUGCUGAGAUUAUAGAGCAUUCACUUCAGCUCUGUUCUGAGCAGACAGCACUGUCAGAUGAGAAGCAUUCAGUCAUUUUAUCAAACAACAAAGACAACUUUUGUAGCUAGCCAUGUUCUUUCUGACUGCCACCCCUAGACUGGCCGGUGGGACCAUGAAUUUCACAUUUGGUUUGGUUUGGUUUGGUCCCAGUCCAUUUCUUGGCAUUAUUUUAGUGGGACCAGGAUCAGAAUGGGAG
This 835-nucleotide small RNA is filed under the name Histoplasma capsulatum. Its description in RNAcentral is "hypothetical RNA". The record is from RNAcentral. RNAcentral also lists the same sequence under 1 other name. Lineage: Eukaryota; Fungi; Ascomycota; Eurotiomycetes; Onygenales; Ajellomycetaceae.